This 459-nucleotide ribosomal RNA is filed under the name uncultured bacterium. Its description in RNAcentral is "partial 16S ribosomal RNA". It matches the Rfam family "Bacterial small subunit ribosomal RNA", at positions 338 to 795 of the family's 1533-position model. The record is from RNAcentral.
CCUACGGGUGGCAGCAGUGAGGAAUAUUGGUCAAUGGGCGGAAGCCUGAACCAGCCAAGUAGCGUGAGGGAGGAAGGUACAGAGUAUCGUAAACCUCUUUUGUCAGGGAACAAAGACUGGGACGCGUCCCCGGAUGAGUGUACCUGAAGAAAAAGCAUCGGCUAACUCCGUGCCAGCAGCCGCGGUAAUACGGAGGAUGCGAGCGUUAUCCGGAUUUAUUGGGUUUAAAGGGUGCGCAGGCGGUCUGUUAAGUCAGCGGUCAAAGCCCGGGGCUCAACCCCGGCCCGCCGUUGAAACUGGCAGUCUCGAGUUGGAGAGAAGUAUGCGGAAUGCGCGGUGUAGCGGUGAAAUGCAUAGAUAUCGCGCAGAACUCCGAUUGCGAAGGCAGCAUGCCGGCUCCACACUGACGCUGAGGCACGAAAGCGUGGGUAUCGAACAGGAUUAGAUACCCGAGUAGUC